AUGGACCAAUGGGUGGCCAGUGGGGGCAGGCGUCUGGAUGAGCAGACGGGAGGGUGGAAGGAGGGAAGGAGGGGAGGAGGAAGGCUGGAUGUGCAGGUAGAAGGCGGGCGGGGGACUCUGCUGGUCACUGUCACCCGCCCCCACCCCCCCACAAAAGGAAGAAGCCUGGUCAGGAGACCGCUGUGCGCACCUCCUGACACGAUGGAAACUUUGCUGUCCUUGGUCACAGGCGUUUUCCCCGAUGGCCUUUUCAGUCUUACUUUUGCAAUGGGUGGAUGGGUUCUCAUCUCUUCAAUCUCUAACCCCCGGGGUCCACACGUUCUCACCAGGUUUCCUUUCUCCACGUUCUCUGAGCCUCCUCUCCUCUCCGCUGACCUCCCACGUCCGCCUCUCGGCGGGAUGAGUCCGGAGACAAGUGGGUUCCUCUGGGAACUCGGCGGCCAAGGGGAACGCCCGGCCUGUCUGAGCUCUGAGGAGAUGGUGGCCACGCCCGUCUCCCAGGGACGCCCAGAGCCUUUCCCAGGAAGACAUGGCUGUGGAGUCCGCCCUCUGGACGGCGGGACGGCCAGGACAACAGGCCCGCGUGGCCCCGUGGGGUCCGGUGUGAGGGACCCCUGCUCCAGCUCUCACCGCCCCACCCACUCUUGGAGCGCCUGUGUCCGUCAGGGGGGGCUCAGCUGCGGGAGGGAGGGACCCUCCGCGAGGUCUGCUCGGUGCCAGGACCUGAGACGACCUGCGCAAGGCCUAGUGGGGGGAUGCUCCUCGGCCACCUCCACUGGACACAUGGGAGCCCACCCUCCCCUGGAAUCUCGGGCUGAUGCCGAAGCACGGAGCGGUGCUGGACCCGAGAUGGGCGGAGUGGAGCCCGGGCGUCUGGUCUCACGGUGUGGUGUCUGCAGGGCAGGCUCGCACCCUGUCGUGCACAGAAGUGACCGCGGGAGAGGUGGCCGCCCGGGGCCGUGCAGGGACCGCCGUGGCCAGAGUGCAGGCUGCACGGGCCUGGGGCCCCAGCCUGUGACCUGCACCCAGCGGCUCCGCGUCCGGGGGGCCUGCAUGCCCUGCCGUCUCCCUGCGGGGACCCCCACGUCCGUGUGGAGUCCAUCUGUGACCCACGUUCAGGAUCCCCAGCUACUGUGCCUCGUUUUGUCUCAAGGUUAG
RNAcentral lists this long non-coding RNA (1158 nucleotides) under Bos indicus x Bos taurus (hybrid cattle). Its description in RNAcentral is "lncRNA (ENSBIXG00005012410.1)". Lineage: Eukaryota; Metazoa; Chordata; Mammalia; Artiodactyla; Bovidae. The record is from RNAcentral.